GUUUUGAUCUCUCAGAAUGACAUCCCGGUUCCUCAGAGUGUUGCCAGUGCUGGAGGCCACAUUGCAGUUGGGCAGCAAGGGCUUGGUAGUGUGAAGGACCCAAGUAACUGUGGGAUGCCUCUGACCCCUCCCACCUCUCCAGAACAGGCUAUCCUAGGUGAGAGUGGAGGUAUGCAGAGUGCUGCCAGUCACCUGGUUUCCCAAGAUGGAGGGAUGAUAACGAUGCACAGUCCAAAGAGAUCGGGGAAGAUUCCUCCAAAACUCCACAAUCAUAUGGUCCAUCGAGUCUGGAAGGAAUGCAUCCUCAACAGAACCCAGUCCAAGAGGAGCCAAAUGUCAACUCCAACUCUUGAAGAAGAGCCUGCUAGCAAUCCUGCUACUUGGGAUUUUGUGGAUCCAACCCAAAGAGUCAGCUGUUCUUGUUCCAGGCAUAAGCUUUUAAAACGUUGUGCAGUCGGGCCCAAUCGACCUCCCACAGUAUCUCAACCAGGGUUCAGUGCAGGACCAUCAUCAUCUUCAUCUUUACCACCUCCUGCUUCUUCUAAGCACAAAACAGCAGAAAGACAGGAAAAAGGAGACAAGCUGCAAAAGAGACCCUUAAUACCAUUUCACCAUAGGCCCUCUGUGGCCGAAGAAUUAUGCAUGGAGCAAGAUACACCAGGACAGAAACUAGGGUUGGCAGGGAUAGACUCCUCCUUAGAGGUGUCUAGCAGUAGGAAAUAUGAUAAGCAAAUGGCCGUGCCUUCC
Molecule: long non-coding RNA, 747 nt
Filed under: Homo sapiens (human)
Lineage: Eukaryota; Metazoa; Chordata; Mammalia; Primates; Hominidae
Description: long non-coding RNA NONHSAT164043.1
Source: RNAcentral